Non-coding RNA from Pelobates cultripes (western spadefoot toad), 276 nucleotides. Lineage: Eukaryota; Metazoa; Chordata; Amphibia; Anura; Pelobatidae. The record is from the annotation of a GenBank genome assembly.
GUCACGCAAUAGACUGGAAGAAAGUCGAUUUAGUCUAAGGCAAAGGAAAGGGAUUCUACAGUAAGAACAAUAAGGAUGUGAAAUUCUCUGCCUGGAGAUUUGGUUUUAUCAGUCUGUACAGAUGUUUAAACACAAUCUGGUCAUGCCUUCUCCAUGAUGUUGCAAGAAACCGAGAAGUAAGCAGCACCAAGGAAGACUUGCCACUGGAAAAACAAAAGUAACAAGCAUAUUUGUGUUCUAAUGGGAGAUAGGGACCUGUAUUAACCCCUUAAGGAC